UUUAACAAUGUUUUAGUGCUUUUUACUGC
Molecule: small RNA, 29 nt
Filed under: Bombyx mori (domestic silkworm)
Lineage: Eukaryota; Metazoa; Arthropoda; Insecta; Lepidoptera; Bombycidae
Description: ovarian small RNA-38215
Source: RNAcentral